UGGAAUUUGCUGUUGAAGUCACAGUUUGCA
This 30-nucleotide non-coding RNA is filed under the name Mus musculus (house mouse). The record is from RNAcentral. Lineage: Eukaryota; Metazoa; Chordata; Mammalia; Rodentia; Muridae.